This 479-nucleotide ribosomal RNA is filed under the name uncultured bacterium. Its description in RNAcentral is "partial 16S ribosomal RNA". It matches the Rfam family "Bacterial small subunit ribosomal RNA", at positions 28 to 507 of the family's 1533-position model. The record is from RNAcentral.
GAUGAACGCUGGCGGCGUGCUUAACACAUGCAAGUCGAACGAAGCACUUUAACCUGAUUCUUCGGAUGAAGGUUUUUGUGACUGAGUGGCGGACGGGUGAGUAACGCGUGGGUAACCUGCCUCAUACAGGGGGUUCACAGUUAGAAAUGACUGCUAAUACCGCAUAAGACCACAGAGCCGCAUGGCUCGGUGGGAAAAACUCCGGUGGUAUGAGAUGGACCCGCGUCUGAUUAGGUAGUUGGUGGGGUAACGGCCUACCAAGCCAACGAUCAGUAGCCGACCUGGGAGGGGGACCGGCCACAUUGGGACUGAGACACGGCCCAAACUCCUACGGGAGGCAGCAGUGGGGAAUAUUGCACAAUGGGGGAAACCCUGAUGCAGCGACGCCGCGUGAGCGAAGAAGUAUUUCGGUAUGUAAAGCUCUAUCAGCAGGUAAGAAAAUGACGGUACCUGACUAAGAAGCACCGGCUAAAUACGUG